Molecule: non-coding RNA, 443 nt
Organism: Leptonychotes weddellii (Weddell seal)
Lineage: Eukaryota; Metazoa; Chordata; Mammalia; Carnivora; Phocidae
Source: RefSeq, a predicted model, not a curated record
GGGCAGUCAAGGCACAAUUUUGUGAUUUUACCAGCAGUAGUCCUUGUAGCAGGAGUGGCAUUUUUUUUGCUGUUUAGAAAAGGUUGUCUGAAAUGUGGCAGAAACACAGAGAGAACCGACCCCAGUUGACCGGUACUACAAGAUGAAAUCAAAUGUAUAGCGACUAAGUUAUUUAAAUAAUGGAACAAAAAGCCAUCUGAUUUGCCAUUCAAGUUUAUGUCAUCUUCGAGGACAUUUUGGAAUUCUAAUCUGAAGUGGCCCUCCACCAGAAGGUUCUUUUCUGGAAGAAAUAUCAACUAACAACCAGCACCAGUAUCUACCCUAUCCCUGCUGUGAUCUAUGACUAGAUACUGUAGAUGACUUUUGCCUCUCAAUUUUUUACUAUAAAUUUUCUAUCAGAGAGAUAUAAAUUUGUAAAUAUGUAAAUAUAUACAUAAGUGGUA